Molecule: long non-coding RNA, 202 nt
Filed under: Pelobates cultripes (western spadefoot toad)
Lineage: Eukaryota; Metazoa; Chordata; Amphibia; Anura; Pelobatidae
Source: RNAcentral
CGCCAUCCAUUGUUCUCACCAUGUGCUUCUGAUACAGGAAAUGGUGGCCACCCAGUAACUCCACAGUAUGUCCCCAGAUGCUUCUUAAAGGGCCAGCAGCAGCACAACACAAAUCCAUUAUGCCCAAAUCAUGUCUUUAAAGGGCAAUACAUCCCAGGGGCCAUAGUCACAGGGCAAGAGGCGGGCAAGCAGUCCUCUCCAG